RNAcentral lists this ribosomal RNA (301 nucleotides) under uncultured bacterium. RNAcentral describes it as "partial 16S ribosomal RNA". It matches the Rfam family "Bacterial small subunit ribosomal RNA", at positions 509 to 807 of the family's 1533-position model. The record is from RNAcentral.
CAGUCGCCACGGUAAUACGAGGAGGGCAAGCGUUGUUCGGAUUUAUUGGGCGUAAAGGGUGCGUAGGCGGUUUGGCAAGUCUUGUGUGAAAUCUUCGGGCUCAACCCGAAGCCUGCACGAGAAACUACCGGGCUUGAGUAGUGGAGAGGUGAGUGGAAUUUCCGGUGUAGCGGUGAAAUGCGUAGAUAUCGGAAGGAACACCUGUGGCGAAAGCGGCUCACUGGACACUAACUGACGCUGAGGCACGAAAGCUAGGGGAGCAAACAGGAUUAGAUACCCGGGUAGUCCCUGUCUCUUAUAC